CACACAACCCCCAUUUUUGUCGAAAAUAGCCAUGAACGACCAUUUUCAAUUACACUGAAGGCUAACACCUAUGGAUUUUUGACCAAGAAAUGGUCUCCACCAUAAAUCCAAGAAUGUGAUCUAUGGCAAGGAAACAUAUGUGUAGUGAGGUGUAUGAGCCUCUGGUCGAAGAUCAAUGGCCACACAACCCCCAUUUUUGUCGAAAAUAGCCAUGAAUGACCAUUUUCAAUAAUACCGAAGGCUAACACGUACGGAUUUUUGACCAAGAAAUGGUCUCCACCAGAAAUCCAAGAAUGUGAUCUACGACAAGGAAACAUAUGUGGGUGAGGUGUAUGAGCCUCUGGUCGAUGAUCAAUGGCCACACAACCCCCAUUUUGUCGAAAAUAGCCAUGAACGACCACGACCAUUUUCAAUAAUACUGAAGGCUAACACGUACGAAUUUUUGACCAAGAAAUGCUCUCCACUAGAAAUACAAGAAUGUGAUCUAUGGCAAGGAAACAUAUGUGGGGUGAGGUGUACGAGCCUCUGGUCGAUGAUAAAUGGCCACACAACCCCCAUUUUAGUCGAAAAUAGCCAUGAACGACCAUUUUCAAUAAUACCGAAGGCUAACACCAACAGAUUUUUGACCAAGAAAUGGUCUCCACCAGAAUUCCAAGAAUGUGAUCUAUAGCAAGAAAACCAAUGUGGGGUGAAGUGUAUGAGCCUCUGGUCGAUGAUCAAUGGCCACACAACCCCCAUUUUUGUCGAAAAUAGCCAUGAACGACCAUUUUCAAUGACACUUAAGGCUAACACCUAUGGAUUUUUGACUAAGAAAUGGUCUCCACCAGAAAUCCAAGAAUGUGGUCUAUGGCAAGGAAACAUAUGUGGGGUGAGGUGUAUGAGCCUUUGGUCGAUGAUCAAUUGCCACACAACCCCCAUUUUUGUCGAAAAUAGCCAUGAACGACCAUUUUCAAUAAUACCGAAGGCUAACACCUACGGAUUUUUGACCAAGAAACGGUCUCCACCAGAAAUCCAAGAAUGUGAUCUAUGGAAGGAAACUUAUGUGGGGUGAGGUGUACGAGCCUCUGGUCGAUGAUCAAUGGCGACACAACCCCCAUUUUUGUCGAAAAUAGCCAUUAAUGACCAUUUUCAAUGACACUAAAGGCUAACACCUACAAAUUUUUGACCAACAAAUAGUCUCCACGAGAAAUCCAAGAUUGUGAUCUAUGGCAAGAAACAUAUGUGGGGUGAAGUGUACGAGCCUCUGGUCGAUGAUCAAUGGCCACACAACCCCCAUUUUUGUCGAAAAUAGCCAUGAACGACCAUUUUCAAUACACUAAGGCUAACACCUAUGGAUUUUUGACCAAGAAAUGGUCUCCACCAUAAAUCCAAGAAUGUGAUCUAUGGCAAGGAAACAUAUGUGUAGUGAGGUGUAUGAGCCUCUGGUCGAAGAUCAAUGGCCACACAACCCCCAUUUGUGUCGAAAAUAGCCAUGAAUGACCAUUUUCAAUAAUACCGAAGGCUAACACGUACGGAUUUUUGACCAAGAAAUGGUCUCCACCAGAAAUCCAAGAAUGUGAUCUAUGGCAAGGAAACAUAUGUGGGGUGAGGUGUAUGAGCCUCUGGUCGAUGAUCAAUGGCCACACAACCCCAUUUUUGUCGAAAAUAGCCAUGAACGACCAUUUACAAUAAUACCGAAGGCUAACACCUACGGAUUUUUGACCAAGAGAAGAUCUCCACCAGAAAUCCAAGAAUGUGAUCUAUGGCAAGGAAACAUAUGUGGGGUGAGGUGUACGAGCCUCUGAUCGAUGAUCAAUGGCCACACAACCCCCAUUUUUGUCGAAAAUAGCCAUGAACGACCAUUUUCAAUACAUCCGAAGGCUAACACCUACGGAUUUUUGACCAAGAAAUCGUCUCCACCAGAAAUCCAAGAAUAUGAUCUAUGGCAAGGAAACAUAUUGGGGUGAGGUGUACGAGCCUCUGGUCGAUGAUCAGUGGCCACACAACCCCCAUUUUUUGUCGAAA
Molecule: long non-coding RNA, 2004 nt
Filed under: Zea mays
Lineage: Eukaryota; Viridiplantae; Streptophyta; Magnoliopsida; Poales; Poaceae
Description: long non-coding RNA (ZMAY_LNC005800)
Source: RNAcentral